AACGAACGCUGGCGGCAGGCCUAACACAUGCAAGUCGAGCGCACCUUCGGGUGAGCGGCGGACGGGUUAGUAACGCGUGGGAACGUACCCUUUUCUACGGAAUAGCCUUUGGAAACGAAGAGUAAUACCGUAUACGCCCUUUGGGGGAAAGAUUUAUCGGAGAAGGAUCGGCCCGCGUUAGAUUAGAUAGUUGGUGGGGUAACGGCCUACCAAGUCUACGAUCUAUAGCUGGUUUUAGAGGAUGAUCAGCAACACUGGGACUGAGACACGGCCCAG
RNAcentral lists this ribosomal RNA (276 nucleotides) under uncultured Phaeobacter sp. Its description in RNAcentral is "partial 16S ribosomal RNA". It matches the Rfam family "Bacterial small subunit ribosomal RNA", at positions 29 to 334 of the family's 1533-position model. The record is from RNAcentral. Lineage: Bacteria; Pseudomonadati; Pseudomonadota; Alphaproteobacteria; Rhodobacterales; Roseobacteraceae.